CUGGUCCUGGACGUUUGUUUGUUGGACGUUGUUAAAUCACAGUUUCAGUUUCGGUUCUUGUGAUUGGUCUGUUCAUCUUUUCUAUUUCGUCUUGGUUUUUAGUCUUGGAAGAUUGUGCCUUUCAAAGAAUUUGUCCAUUUCUUGUAGGUUUUCUGUUUGAUUGGCGUAUAGUUGCAUAUAUAGUAGUCUCUUAGGCUCCUUUGUGUUUCUGUGAUGUCUGCUGUUACUGCUCCUUUUUCAUUUCUACUUUUCUUGAUUUGAGUGCUCUCUCUCUCUUUUUCUGGAUAAGUCUGGCUAAGGGUUUAUCGAUUUUGUUGAUCUUUUCAAAGAACCAGCUUUUCGUUUCAUUGAUCUUUUCGAUGGUUUUCUUUGUUUCUAGUUCAUUGAUUUCUGCUCUGAGCUUGAUGAUCUCUUUCCUUCUGCUGACUUUAGGUCUUGUCUGUUCUUCUCUCUCUAGGUGCUUUAGAUGUAAAGUUAGCUUGUUUGUUUGAGCUUUUUCUUGUUUCCUGAGGUGGGCUCGUAUUGCUGCGAACUUUCCUCUUAGAAUGGCUUUUGCCGUAUGUAUCCCAUAGGUUUUGGAGUGUCGUAGCUUUGUUGUCAUUUGCUUGUAGGUAUUUUUUAAUUUCCACUUUGAUUUCUUCAGUGAUCCAUUGGUUGUUUCGUAACAUGUUGUUGAGUCUCCCUGUGUUUGUGUUUUUUGCAGUUUUUUUCUUGUUGUUGAUUUCCAGCCAUAUAGCGUUGAGGUCGGAAAAGAUGCUUGACAUGAUUUCAGUUUUCUUAAAGUUCCCGAGAUUUGAUUUGUAGCCCAGGAUGUGAUCCAUGUUAGAGAGUGCUCCGGGUGCACUUGAGAAGCAUGUGCAUUCUGUUGCUUUUGGAUGGAAUGUCCUAUAAAUAUCUAUUUAGUCCAUCUGGUGUAAUGCAGCAUUCGGGGCCUGUGUUUCCGUAUUGAUUUUCUGUCUGGAUGAUCUGUCCAUAGCUGAAAGUGGGUGUUAACGUCCCCCACUAUUAUUGUGUUAUUGUUGAUCUGUGCUUUUAAGGUUGUUUGUUAGCAGUUGCCUGAUGUAUUGUGGUGAACCUGUGUUGGGUGUGUAGAUGUUUAAAAUGGUUAUAUCUUCUUCUUGGAUUGAUCCUUUGAUCAUUAUGUAGUGACCUUCCUUGUCCCUUAAAAUAGUCUUCAUUUUAAAGUCUAUUUUGUGUGUUAUGAGUAUUGGUACUCCAGCUUUCUUUUGAUUCCCAUUUGCAUGGAACAUUUUCCUCCAUCCUCUCAUUUUCAAUUUGUGUGUGUUCCUAGAAGUGAAGUGGGUCUCUGGAAGACAGCAUAUGUAUGGAUCUUGCUUUUGUAUGCAUUCAGCCGGUCUGUGUCUUUUGGUUGGGGCGUUCAGUCCGUUAACAUUUCGGGUAAUUAUUGAUAUGUAUGUUCUUAUUGCCAUUUUAUUAAUUGCUUUGGAUUUGUUUGUGUUGCUCUUUUUUCUUCCCUUCUUGUUCUCUCCUCUUGUGGUUUGAUGACUGUCUUUAGUGUUGCAUUUGAGUUGAUGUUUCUUAUUUUUUUGUGUAUCAGUUGUAGAUGUUUGGUUUGCACUUAUUCUGAAGUUUUGAUAUGAGUCUCUCUCUAUAUGAGAUAGUUUUAAGUUGUGGGUCUCUUAAUUGCAAGUGCAUCUCCAGUGUCCUGCAUUUGUACGCUGCUCUUCUCAGGAUGUCUGAUUUUGGUGGCCUAAUUGUGCGUGGGUGAUUUUGUAUCUUUACUGUAUGUAUACCUUGACUGGUGAGCCUUGUCAUCUGUGGAAUUUUUGUUUCCUGUUGUGGCCUUUUCUCUUCUGCCUGGAGAAGUUCCUUUAGUAUUUGUUGUAAAGCUGGUUUAGUGUUGCUGAAUUCUCUCAGCCUUUGCUUAUCUGUGAAGCUUUUGAUUUCUCCUUGAAAUCUGCAUGAGAGCCUUGCUGGGGAAAGUAAUCUUGGUUGGCGGUUUUUCCCUUUCAUCACGUUGAGUGUAUCAUGCCACUCCCUUCUGGGCUGCAGAGUUUCAGCUGAAAAAUCUGCCGAUAACCUUAUCGGGGUUCCCUUGUCUGUUAUUUGUUUCUUUUCCCUAGCUGCUUUCAGUAUUUUCUCUCUGUCUUUAAUUUUGGUCCGUUGGGUUAGUAUGUGUCUCCUUGGGUUUCCUCCUCGGGUUUAUUUUAUAUGGUAGCCGUUGCGCUUCCUGGAUUUGAGUGAGGGGUUCCUUUCCCAUGUUGGGGAAGUUUUUGGCUAUUGUCUCUUUGAGUAUUUUUUCUGUCCCCUUCUCUCUCUCUUCUCCUUCUGGCACCCCUAUGAUACGGAUGUUGGUGCGUUUCACGUUGUCCCAGAGUUCUCUGAGACUCUCUUCAUUUGUUUUCGAUCUUUUUUCUCUUUUCUGUUCCCGAUCCGUAAUUUCCACUCGUCUGUCCUCCACCUUGCUUAUUUCUUCUUCUGCCUCCCGUAUUCUGCUGUUAGCUGCGUCUAGUGAAUUUUUUAUUUCAGGUAUUGUAUUUUGCAUCUCUUCUUGUUCACGUUUUCUAUCUUGUAUCUCUUUGGUCAGCGUUUCCUGUAAGUUAUCCGUCUUUGCCUCCAGUUUAUGUCCAACGUCUUGCAUCAUCUUCAGCAUCAACAGGCUCAAGUCUUUUGCCUGGAGGCUGAGAAUCUCCUGAUCACUUAGCUGAUUUUCGGUGGUUUCUUCUUUCGCCCUCAUCUGAGUUACAGUUUUGUGUCUUUUCAUUUCGAUAGUUUUUUGGUGUGGUGAUCUUUUUACAGAUAAUAGAGUUGUAGCCUCUCUUGCUUCUGUUGUCUGCCUCCCUUGUGGCUGAAGUUGGUAUGGGGGCUUGCUGUAGGCUUCUUGAUGGGGGUGGGUGCUGAUGCCUGCCCAUGGGUAGGUGGAGCUGAUUCCUAUCCCUCUGGUGGGUGGCGCUUAGUCUCUGGAUGGGGUUAGCGGCUGCUGUGUGCCUGGGGGGUCUUUAGGCUGCCUGUUUACUGAGGGGCAGGGCUGUGAUCCCACCUGGACUGUUGUUUGCCCUGGGGCUUCUCAGUGCUGAUGAGUGGGGCCAGGUUUUCCCAAAAUGGCCCCCUCCAGAGAAAGGCACUGCUGUUGAAUAUUCCCAAGAGUUCUCCUUCCAAUGUCCUUCCCCCACAACAAGCCACAUUCACCCCUGUUUUCCCAGGAUGUCCUCCACGAACUGCAGUCAAGUUUGACCCAGAUGCCUAUGGAGACUUUGCUUUGCCCUGGGACCCAG
RNAcentral lists this long non-coding RNA (3236 nucleotides) under Sus scrofa (pig). Its description in RNAcentral is "lncRNA (ENSSSCG00005018521.1)". Lineage: Eukaryota; Metazoa; Chordata; Mammalia; Artiodactyla; Suidae. The record is from RNAcentral.